UACGUAGGGGGCGAGCGUUGUCCGAAGUUACUGGGCGUAAAGCGCGCGUAGGCGGCUUCUUAAGUCUGGUGUGAAAGGUUCAGGGCUCAACCCGAACAGUGCACUGGAUACUGGGGAGCUUGAGUUUGGGAGAGGGUAGUGGAAUUCCUGGUGUAGCGGUGAAAUGCGUAGAUAUCAGGAGGAACACCGAUGGCGAAGGCAGCUACCUGGCCCGAUACUGACGCUGAGGUGCGAAAGCGUGGGGAGCGAACGGG
This 254-nucleotide ribosomal RNA is filed under the name uncultured bacterium. RNAcentral's name for it is "partial 16S ribosomal RNA". It matches the Rfam family "Bacterial small subunit ribosomal RNA", at positions 524 to 776 of the family's 1533-position model. The record is from RNAcentral.